This 29-nucleotide non-coding RNA is filed under the name Rattus norvegicus (Norway rat). The record is from RNAcentral. Lineage: Eukaryota; Metazoa; Chordata; Mammalia; Rodentia; Muridae.
UGGCAAUGUUUCUAGGUGGCAUUCAAACU